This 1281-nucleotide long non-coding RNA is filed under the name Homo sapiens (human). RNAcentral's name for it is "HSALNT0394977". Lineage: Eukaryota; Metazoa; Chordata; Mammalia; Primates; Hominidae. The record is from RNAcentral.
AAGCAGAAUUCGCUAAAACUGACUCUCUGUUCUAGGACUUGAAGCCACGUUUCUUCAAAUCUCAGUUUCCAGAUCUGAAAAAGAACAAAGAAUUUGACUGAGGGGCAUAAAGAAGAAAAAGAGAUGGAGGCAAGUUCCAGAGCAGGAAUGGAAGUUUAUUGAAAAAGGCCUCAGAACAGCAAAGAAAGGAAGGUGUGCUUGGAAGAGACCCACUGCUAAAACUUAGAAGUACAAAAGUUUUUAAUUUUGUUGAUGUCCAGUUCAUCUAUUUUUUUGCUUGUGUUUAUGCUGUCAGAUCAAAGAAACCGUUGCUUAAUUCGCAAAGAUUUAUGACUAUGUUUCUUCUAAAACUUUCUAAUUUAGCUCUUGCAGUUAUGUCUUUGAUCUAUUUUGAAUUAAUUUUGUAUAUGGUGUGAGGUGCAGAUCCAAAUUCCUUCUUUUGCAUAUGGUAGCCAGUUAUCUCAUUUGUUGGAAAAACUAUUCUUUCCCUUGAUGCACUGGUUGAUAAUCAAUUGACCAGAAGUGUGAGGGUUUAUUUCUGGACUUUCAAUUCUAUUCCAUUGUCUGUCCUUAUACCAGUAUCACACUGUUUUGAAUACUGUAGCUUUGAAAUAUGUUUUGAAAUUCAGAAGUAUAAAUUAUCUGAUUUUGUUCCUUUUCAAGAUUGUUUUGGUCAGUCUGAUUCCCUUGAUUUCCACAUGAAUAUGAGGACAAUCUUAAAAAUUUCUACUAGAAAGGCAGGUGGGUAUUUGAUAGAAAUUGCUUUGAAUCUGUAGUUCAAUUUUGGGGGUAUUGCCAUCUUAACAAUACUAAAUCUUCCAGUGCAUGAUACAGGAUGUCUUCAAUUUAUUUAAAUAAUAUUUAAUUACUUUUAAUAAUGUUUUAUAAUUUUUAAUGCAGAAGUCUUUCAUUUAUUGUGUUAAACUUAUUCCUAAGUAUUUUAUUAUUUUUGAUAUUAUUGGAAAUUGAAUUAUUUUCUAAAUUGGACUUCUGGAUUGUUUAUUGCUAGGGUAUAGAAAAAGAAUUGAUUUUGUACAUUGAUCUUGCAUUCUGCAACCUUGCUAAAGUCUCUUCUUUGCUCUAAUAGUUUCUUUGUGAAUAUCUUAGGAUUAUUUUUUCUUUUUUUUGAGAUGGAGUCUCAUUCUGUCACCCAGGUUGGAGUGCAGUGGUGCCAUUUCAGCUCACUUCAACCUCUGCCUCCCAGGCUCAAGUAAUCCUCCCACCUUCCACCUUAGCCUCCCAAGGAGUUGGGACCACAGGCACAUGCCACCACUCCUGGCU